This 1019-nucleotide ribosomal RNA is filed under the name uncultured bacterium. RNAcentral describes it as "bacterial SSU rRNA". It matches the Rfam family "Bacterial small subunit ribosomal RNA", at positions 355 to 1375 of the family's 1533-position model. The record is from RNAcentral.
UGAGGAAUAUUGGUCAAUGGGCGUAAGCCUGAACCAGCCAAGUAGCGUGAGGGAAGACUGCCCUAUGGGUUGUAAACCUCUUUUGUGCGGGGAUAAAGUGUGGGACGUGUCCCAUAUUGCAGGUACCGCACGAAUAAGGACCGGCUAAUUCCGUGCCAGCAGCCGCGGUAAUACGGAAGGUCCGGGCGUUAUCCGGAUUUAUUGGGUUUAAAGGGAGCGCAGGCCGUCCUUUAAGCGUGCUGUGAAAUGCCGCGGCUCAACCGUGGCACUGCAGCGCGAACUGGAGGACUUGAGUACGCACGAGGUAGGCGGAAUUCGUGGUGUAGCGGUGAAAUGCUUAGAUAUCACGAAGAACUCCGAUUGCGAAGGCAGCUUACCGGAGCGCAACUGACGCUGAGGCUCGAAAGCGCGGGUAUCGAACAGGAUUAGAUACCCUGGUAGUCCGCGCGGUAAAUGAUGGAUGCCCGCCGUUGGGAUUUGGAUUUCAGCGGCCAAGCGAAAGCGUUAAGCAUCCCACCUGGGGAGUACGCCGGCAACGGUGAAACUCAAAGGAAUUGACGGGGGCCCGCACAAGCGGAGGAACAUGUGGUUUAAUUCGAUGAUACGCGAGGAACCUUACCCGGGCUUGAAUUGCAGGAGAACGAUCCAGAGAUGGUGAGGCCCUUCGGGGCUCCUGUGAAGGUGCUGCAUGGUUGUCGUCAGCUCGUGCCGUGAGGUGUCGGCUCAAGUGCCAUAACGAGCGCAACCCCUGUCCAUAGUUGCCAUCAGGUCGUGCUGGGCACUCUGUGGAGACUGCCGCCGUAAGGUGUGAGGAAGGUGGGGAUGACGUCAAAUCAGCACGGCCCUUACGUCCGGAGCUACACACGUGUUACAAUGGGGCAUACAGCGAGUUGGAUGUGCGCAAGUACGUCCGGAUCAAUAAAGUGCCUCUCAGUUCGGACUGGGGUCUGCAACCCGACCCCACGAAGCUGGAUUCGCUAGUAAUCGCGCAUCAGCCAUGGCGCGGUGAAUACGUUCCC